GCUCUUUUAGCUGAAAUACUUCAUUUAAUAUACACUCAGAUGAUUUGAGCUGAAGCUAACCUGGAAAUCUCCGUCCUGCAGUCUACUUUCAAUGGUUCCAGAAAAUACUAUGGAAACUGCCAGAGAAGAAAAUAAUUGUAGUCCUCAACUCUCAUUAAGGAAACAUCUUUACAACUGAUUAGGACCACUACAGGAAAGCACAACCAAUCAAACUGCAGAGAUGUGGAACCCAGUCCCAACAGAUACCACAACAAAUAAGAAAAAAAGGAGUCCAAGUCAAAAUGUGAGUUUGCACUUGGUGGGAAAUGAAGAGAAAUGAGUUGCUGCUGACUAUGUUAUCUG
Peromyscus eremicus (cactus mouse) is the source of this 342-nucleotide long non-coding RNA. RefSeq lists it as uncharacterized. The record is from RefSeq and is a predicted model, not a curated record. The transcript is spliced from 3 exons. Lineage: Eukaryota; Metazoa; Chordata; Mammalia; Rodentia; Cricetidae.